Molecule: transfer RNA, 66 nt
Filed under: mouse gut metagenome
Also listed under: 1 other name
Rfam family: tRNA
About the family: Transfer RNA (tRNA) molecules are approximately 80 nucleotides in length. Their secondary structure includes four short double-helical elements and three loops (D, anti-codon, and T loops).
Source: RNAcentral
UGAUAGCUCAGUUGGAUAGAGUGUUUGGCUACGAACCAAAAGGUCGGGGGUUCGAAUCCCUUUCAG